AGUCUGUGCUUUUUAAACCCUUCGUGUUUUGUCCUUAAAUGCUUAUUUAAACCUGAAAUGAGUUUGACAAAUCUCACAGAAAAACAUAAUUAAAACAAUUUACUAAUUUAAAAAAAAAAUUGUACGUCAAAAUAAAACUGAAAAUUGGGAAACUGGCAAAUCUACUAGUCGGCAGUGACUAAACAAGGAAUGUUUACCGUGGUUGUGAUGACACACGGCAUACACAGUCUACUAAAAAAGGCGAUCUUCCGAAAUCGAUAGCAUAUAAUAUAUUAUGGUCUUCGGGAUAAUAUAGUAUUUUACAUAUUUUAUACUUUUAUCCACAAUUAAUUUAUGAGUGUCCUACUUUUACUUUUAUGACCCAAUUAAAGCGGUAAGAUAAAAUGCAAUUAAUAGGUUGAGACCACGGUGAUGUACCAUAUACAGCUAAUUUUAUUUAGUUGGAUUUUCGACGUUCCGCUUUGGCUAUCCUCUUACACUUUUAUGCACGGAAAAACGUAUUUUACCGAUUCUAUCUACAUCUAUGUAGGUCGAAUGGGCAAUUGUAUAAAUAAUAUUUCCCUACCAAGAUCAUACCAUAGUCAUUUGGCGCACAAGAGUAUCGGUUUACCGCGGUCGCGGUGUAAGUUUUACCACCGGACCGAUACACUUGCCGCCCAAAUAUCCGUUGUCGAUCUGACUUCGUGAGUAGAAGGUUAUGGAGGCUAGACAGGCAUGGAGGUUAGACAGGCAUGGAGGUAAAUAAAUAAACACGUAAUUAUAGUCGGACGCGUAUGCGUCGAAAGCCGAUUAUUGAUAACGAGGUAUUGCGGUUGACAUAAGUACGCAUGUGAGUGACUAGGCUUACAAUAGUUGCCGUUUCGUCGGGUGCUCGAUGCUCGGGCGUGCGGUGAUAGCGUCGGGGCGCACGCGAGUUCGUAAGAGGAAUCGUGAGCGGUUGCGCGUGGGCGCGAAAGCCGUCGAGUUCGGGUCGCGAGACCGGGAACGUCGGGGACGUGUUGGUCGACGGGACGAGAGCGGGUCGAAACCAGAUUCGGCUUGAAAGUGCUCGUUUGUCGCGGAAUCGCGAGAUGUAACGGGACCGUGCGCGUCGUAGCGCGUACCGGACAUGUCGUGUCGGUGGUCAUUACAUCUCGAAAGUGCGAUCGUCGAUGCGCGAGGUCGUGGUCCAUACCCACGUGUAAAAAUGGCGCGGAACGUCGGGUUUGGGUCGGCGGCUAAAGGUUCGGUCGGACUGUCGCGGAUGUGGCUCGGUCGAACGUCGUGAGCAAAGAAAACGAGCUUUACGUCGCGAUCGGCGUCGUAGCCUUCGCGGGACGGUUCGGCGCGGAGUAGGGGCGCGAUCGCUGCGUCGAGUAGAUAGAAACAUAUAUAAAAUUCACAAUGGUCGCUUACGUGUAAAAGUAUAAAAACGAAUAUAAUUCAAAUAUAAUUGUGAACGAAUAUAACAUAAAAAAAAGGUAUAAUUCACGUAUCAAAAGUGGUAACGUCGGUCGGGCUGGUGGGUCGACCAGUAAAGUGGUGACAAUCGGUGUCGCCACAGUCAGAAUGAUAAAUCUUUCCGUGAUAAAAGAUAAGGUUUAAAGUCAUAUCCACGAACGUGGUCAUCGAUUUUGAUGUGAUAAGAAAAUUGAUAAUUUAAAACAGUUUUAACGCAAAGAACCGUUCGUAACAAUUAUCAAAAAGGCAACUAUCAAAUGAAUAUGAAUAUAUGAUAAGACAUGUUAAGACCGAGUGCAUGCAUAAAAAGAGCUUUGGAGUAACGAGUGAUGUAGCCGCGAGUCUCUUGUCACACAACUAGCUGAUCGCACACGCUAGCUCAUUGCUAAUACCGCAGACCGAGGCUGCAACAUAAGAACUGCGGGCAAGAAAAUAUGUCACAUGAAAUGAUAACAGAAAACGGAAUGAACGAAAUAGCUCGAUAUUCAAAGUAUUCAAUUUAAUAUGCAUAAUUUGGAAGGUCGUAUACCAAACAAAUGUCUAGCGGUUUUGGAUCAAGACUGUACGAUGGUCGUCUCUUUUUUGAGCAGUUGUAGCUAAGAACACAUCAUGAAUGAUGUUUACAAAGAAUUUUGGUUAUUCAAUGUAAUAUGCAUAAUUUGAAAGGUCGUAUACCAAACAAAUGUCUAGCGGUUUUGGAUCAAGACUGUACGAUGGUCGUCUCUUUUUUGAGCAUUUGUAGCUAAGAACAC
Long non-coding RNA from Rhopalosiphum padi (bird cherry-oat aphid), 2192 nucleotides. RefSeq lists it as uncharacterized. The transcript is spliced from 3 exons. NCBI's taxonomy places the organism in Eukaryota, Metazoa, Arthropoda, Insecta, Hemiptera, Aphididae. The record is from RefSeq and is a predicted model, not a curated record.